Diospyros lotus (date-plum) is the source of this 1118-nucleotide long non-coding RNA. RefSeq lists it as uncharacterized. The record is from RefSeq and is a predicted model, not a curated record. The transcript is spliced from 2 exons. NCBI's taxonomy places the organism in Eukaryota, Viridiplantae, Streptophyta, Magnoliopsida, Ericales, Ebenaceae.
CCCCCCCCCCCCCCUCUCUCUCAUUUACUGUGGUAGCCCCAUCGCAUCUUAAAUAGAACCCAACUGCCACUCUCCAGCCAGCUCCCAAUCUGUUCCUGAUGAGGUCUCACUCUUUUAUGCCUCCCCCUUCGUUGUCUCUUGAUUUUGAGCGAGAUGAGAUUUUGUGGAAUUUCUAUGGUGAAGGUGUUACCAGCUUUCAUGUGGGUUUAACAAAGGGUUUCCUACAGAGUUUUUUGGCAUUCUGUCCACCUCCAAUCGGAAAGAAAAAGCAAGCCAAUAACAAUUAAGAACACUCUCCUAUGGAGGUGGGCAUACUGCCAACUGAACUCUGUUGGUCUCUCUCUGUAAAACCCUCGUGAUGUAUGAAUAUGAUCUCCAUGGCCCAAACACGCUAACCAUGUUUUCCUUGUUUGUUCUUUCGCGUGGAGAUCGAACUCAGUCAGUUACCCAAGGAGUAAAGACCCAGCCGCGUUUCCCUUUUCAUUCAUAUAUAUCAUUCCGGUUAUCUUGUAUUCAGAUCCAUCCUUGAAUAAUUCGUUGUGGAUGAUGUUGAUGGCAUUGCAAGCCUUUUUCUUUGUGCUCUGCGGUUGCAGGUUUCUGGUGGUGAAUUGAGACCAUUUCUAAGUUGGGCAAGUGAGGGAAGCUGCUGGAGUGUAACGCGUGUUGUCAUAUAAGAAGUGGGCUUUUGCUUGACUUCAAACUGGGAAUUGAACUGACCUUUUAUCUUUAAGAUGUAUACUUUAUAUACGAAGAAUAAGGAGGCAGUUUGUUGGGCUUCUUUGAAACAAUGAAUCUCUUUAAAUGUAAGGGAUCGAGAGUCUGCAGUAGCUAGCAUUUACCACACACAAGUCAACUCGGCUUUGAGCCCAAAUGCAAUAGGGAAUUGUCAUAUAUAGUUGUUAGUGCAAUGUGAGCCCUUUCACUUCGCCAUGACUUUUGACACUGCGAUGCGUCGUGCGCAUGGUGGUUUCCUGGUAACCCCAUUAACGAGCACUAUGUGAAGAUGAGAAAGAAAGAAAGGAAUAAAAUGGAUCGAGUUGUAUGCAUCAAUCAGUAGUUCUAAUUCGGUUCGGUUGUAACUUUUUCUUUUCUAUGAGAGGCUAAAUUUGCUUCGUGAA